This is a non-coding RNA of Mycena polygramma, 87 nucleotides long. Lineage: Eukaryota; Fungi; Basidiomycota; Agaricomycetes; Agaricales; Mycenaceae. The record is from the annotation of a GenBank genome assembly.
GCCCUCGUGGAUAAGUGGUUAUCACUUCUUUUCCAUAAGGGAUUCAAGGCGAUGGAGGUUACGCAGGUUCGACUCCUGCCGAGGGCA